AUUGAACGCUGGCGGCAGGCCUAACACAUGCAAGUCGAACGGUAACAGGAAGAAGCUUGCUUCUUUGCUGACGAGUGGCGGACGGGUGAGUAAUGUCUGGGAAACUGCCUGAUGGAGGGGGAUAACUACUGGAAACGGUAGCUAAUACCGCAUAACGUCGCAAGACCAAAGAGGGGGACCUUCGGGCCUCUUGCCAUCGGAUGUGCCCAGAUGGGAUUAGCUAGUAGGUGGGGUAACGGCUCACCUAGGCGACGAUCCCUAGCUGGUCUGAGAGGAUGACCGGCCACACUGGAACUGAGACACGGUCCAGACUCCUACGGGAGGCAGCAGUGGGGAAUAUUGCACAAUGGGCGAAAGCCUGAUGCAGCCAUGCCGCGUGUAUGAAGAAGGCCUUCGGGUUGUAAAGUACUUUCCGCGGGGAGGAAGGGAGUAAAGUUAAUACCUUUACUCAUUGACGUUACCCGCAGAAGAAGCACCGGCUAACUCCGUG
RNAcentral lists this ribosomal RNA (490 nucleotides) under uncultured bacterium. RNAcentral's name for it is "partial 16S ribosomal RNA". It matches the Rfam family "Bacterial small subunit ribosomal RNA", at positions 30 to 507 of the family's 1533-position model. The record is from RNAcentral.